Molecule: transfer RNA, 72 nt
Filed under: Actinomycetota bacterium
Lineage: Bacteria; Bacillati; Actinomycetota
Description: Actinobacteria bacterium (freshwater metagenome) tRNA-Gln
Rfam family: tRNA
About the family: Transfer RNA (tRNA) molecules are approximately 80 nucleotides in length. Their secondary structure includes four short double-helical elements and three loops (D, anti-codon, and T loops).
Source: RNAcentral
UCCGGGGUGGGGUAAUCGGAAGCCCGGGUCACUUUGGAUGAUCAGGAGGAGGUUCGAAUCCUCCCCCCGGAA